Molecule: unclassified non-coding RNA, 200 nt
Filed under: soil metagenome
Description: partial contains internal transcribed spacer 2 and large subunit ribosomal RNA
Source: RNAcentral
GGGGUUGCAGGCUUUUUGUUGUUGUAAAGUCUGCUCCUCUUAAAUGCAUUAGUGUGAAUGUUACUAAAUGUUCCCCAGUGUGAUAAUUAUUUGCGCUGUUGGAGCCUCUGUAUAUGUUCAUGCUUACAACUGUCCUUUCAAUAGGAUAAUAUACUUUUGUGUUUGACCUCAAAUCAGGUAGGACUACCCGCUGAACUUAA